Long non-coding RNA from Lagopus muta (rock ptarmigan), 6335 nucleotides. RefSeq lists it as uncharacterized. The transcript is spliced from 3 exons. NCBI's taxonomy places the organism in Eukaryota, Metazoa, Chordata, Aves, Galliformes, Phasianidae. The record is from RefSeq and is a predicted model, not a curated record.
UAGGAAAGAGUUAAAGACAGCAGAGGGCGAGUGCUGUGCUAUUGUUCAGGCACUGCUCUGCAUCCAGGGCUGCUGCUCUCUAUUCCCGGAUCUGCCUCUGGCUUCCUGCACGACCUUGGGCUGCUCACCCACCUUCACUUUGCUUUAGUUCUCGAAUUGCAACAUGGAAAUCUUUCUCUUCCUGUAGUGCCACACGCCUUGCUGGCUUUAGGGAGGCUGAGUUCUCAGGUGGGAGGAGAGGGGAAGAAGAGGACACAUUUCCACUGGAGAAAUAACUACGCAGAGCACAGUAAUUUCUGAACGCUCUCUUGUUCACUCGGGCACAGCAGAGUGCAUGGUGCUACUUGUUUUCAAGCAGGCCAAAGUCACAUUCCAUUUGGCGUUGAGCAGAGCAGUGUCAGUUGCAGUGCUCCCUUUUCUCACUAGAUGGUGCUUUUGAUCAAAGGUACGAAUAACUGCAGCGCUCCGCACAGAAUUGCUCUAUUUCUGUUCCCUGUCUCCAUUCCUCCCUCUGCUCUUUCUGUGCUGUAACACUACGGGGGACACUUAACGAUGCUGGAUGUUGGGUGAGGCUCAUCUGGCAGUGCUGCUCCCAGCUCCCACCAGCCAGCUGUGGCUGGGCUUGGGCUCUUGACGCACGGAUCGGUGCUGCCGGGCUGUGGCAGAGAAUUGAAUUCUUUCCGUGUUUUCUAUUCCCAUAAGGAAAAGGCUUCAAAGAGCAGGUCCCCUCCCCCUCUCUGCUGGUGAAGGGCAUUUAGGGAAGCUGGGGGAAAAAAAAAAUCCAGCUCUGACAGAUGCAUUUAUUUAACAAACCACAGCCUUUCCUUACCUUAGCAGCACAUUGGUUGGUUUUGGUUUUUUGUUUGUUUGGGUUUUUUUAAAGAAGGAAUUGCUGUUUUUAUAUCUAUUUUGUAUUCAGUAGAUAGUUACCUAGCCAAGGUCAUUGCUGCUGCAUGCCAGCGCCACGCAGCCAGCCAGCUCCUCUGCCCUGAAUGAGCACCGCCAGGCUUCCACAGGUAAAGAACGGGAGUGAAUCUGCCCACGCCAGGUCCCACGCUGCUGCAGGGAGCCACGCGCCCUCCAUGGUCUAAAAGGCAGCAAAGGAGGUGAAUGGAAUUGUAAUCAAACACUUCCUGCGCAGACAUGCACAGGGCUCUGUUAGGAGCAGUGAGAGGCACAGCGGGGCGCAUGGUGCUGCGUGUCAUCACACUGUGCUGCUGGAGCUCCCCCCGGCCCCCCCCCCUCCUGCAGCUGCCUUGGGUCGCUGUGCUCAGUGCUCCCUGCAGUGCCGGUGCCCGGCUGAGCCGCACGCUGCAGACCUGCGCCCCGCUCCCAUCGGGUUGCAUCACGCCCAGCUCCCUCCCCGUGGAAUUUUACAACUGUUAAUGAAUGGGGUUGGAGCACCGCUGUGCCGCCGGGCGGCUGUUUGUGGAUUUAUGGUCGGAGAUUGUGCUCCUGCCUCUGGCACUGCACCGGUGACAGCAGUGCUGUGUGUGUGCCAGCAAGCCUGCAAGGCCAGAGCCUGCAGCAGCCCUGUGCUCACGUGCUGCGUGUUGUUCUUACGGUGGUGACGUCCCUGCAGCAGGGACACAAGCUAUGCAUGAGAGGAGCGUGACACAAAACCGCUCUCGGGACCAGGAGCUGACAGUGAUUUCUCUGUCAUUCCCCUGUUGUCAUCUUCCCCACUGCACGUACAUUUGUUCAUCGUUAGUAAGGUACUGUUGAUGACUAAAGCCUGGGUCUGUAUCGCAGUCUGCUUGAAGGAGCAAUCGAGGACUGCAGGGCUCAGCUCAUGAGGAGUGGGGCAGUGCACUUCCUCACGUCUAUGGGAUGUGAAGAGUCCUUCCUGACUGACAGCGAAUUGCAUCACUGCUUGUACAGAUAUUUUUCUCUGCAAUGUGCUUGUUGUGUUGUUUUCCUCCAGUGAAAUUUGCCAGCACGUCCCAAAUUGUGUGGUUCUGGAAUGGAGAAGCAACAUACCUGUGCGGGGGAGAGAAUGAGUGCUUUUUGCUUCUUUCAAUCUGGCUCUUCCCUCCCUUCUCCCCACAUCCCCAUGUGUUACAAAGCCAGCUGCUCCCAGAAUAGGUUGGGAAUGAAAUGUCACCGUUUGAAACUGGUGAGUCACACUUUUUGAAGCUUGGGGGGGGGGAGGGAAUCUGAAAUCCUGCGGUGUGGCAGAGCGUCUCCUGGUGAGCACAGAGGGAUUUUGAAAACCACGGGCUCCCUGAUGGUGGAGUCGAGGGGUUUUGCAUGCAGGCUGCUGGGUGUGUCUGGGCUGCUUUCUGCAGGAGGAUGGCAAAACCCGCUGCAAACUUCAGCUGUCUGCUGGGACAUACCUGCUGCAGCCACAUCCCAGCGCCUUCCCGACAGGACUGGGUCGUAUCUGACAGCGAACCUACAGUGACUCUCUUAAUUAAGUCUCCCUGCACUGCUGUGAGGCUUUUCUUAUGGAUGGUCAAAAGCGUUGGGUGGUUUCAUUUUGUUUGGAAAGGUGUGACAGAUGUGAGAAGUUUAAGGCUUAUUGACGCUACAGUUGGAAGAAUUUCACUGUCAGAAGGUGUUUAGUCCCAAAUCCACAUCCAGAACUACAGGUGAGACGUGGAAAAAGACUGACUCUUUGCAGUCAGUUUCCCAUGAACUCCUAAGUCAAAAGAGCAUGGAGGGCAAGAGUGUGCCAGUAUCCCUGUAGCCUUACAGCUGUGAAAGGCUGCACUGAAGCUCUGCCAUUCUCUGCUGCUGGAGUUGCUGAACCUGAGCAGAAGUUCCAGAUGGCUUCCAAAGGAUUCAGCUUCUGAGCAGGUUCCAUCUCUGUUACCCUGCUUUGGGAAACUGCCUUUAAUGGGUCUGUGUUUAAAGCAAACAUCAUCUCCUUGUGCUUGGUCUUCUUUUGGGCUCUAUGUAAUCGUUUGAAACCCAGAUAAAACUCUGCAGGCACACAAGCGAAGCCAGCACUCCUCCUGCCAUAAAACCACAACUGCCUCUAUUGCCAGUGCUUCCCCUGCUGCCUUCCACUUUAACCCUGCAGCACUGCUCUCCUUGUGUUCUUGCUCUCCCCAGAGCCACACUGCUCUGUGUUUAGUGGCAGGCGAUGAAACCAUGCAUUAGCAGCUCCAUAAUAGCUUUGCUCAGUGGAACCCAGCUUCCUUCACUAAUCCAGAAAAUGAGAGUUGUUUUUGUACAUCUGAGAAGCUAAUUAUUUAAGUGCUGAGAAUUAAGGCUCAUCAGGUAGUGGAGACUGAUUUUGGUUUUGUUUCCCAGGGGAAGAAGAAGAUGGAAGGAAGCUGCUCUCACACAGGUGUGCAGCAUGGUAGCUCCCCAGUACUUGGGGUGGGGAGCAGCAGUGUGCAAGUCCCUUUCUAGAGCCUCUCUUCGUACGUUUCCUCUCUCUCAGACAUCAUCUGAUGGUUUUCCCCAUUUGAAUAGACUUUGAAAGUAUCUUCUGGUCAAAUAACGUGAUAGCUUUAUUUUUAUGGCCAUAACAAAGAUGGACCCCGUUUGUGGCUGACCCGGCCUGGAUAUUUUGCAAUAAAACCCUUGUCUCAGGGUUUUUAGAGAGGGAAAGUAGCUCACAUCAGUUGUCCUCCUGUGAUCAGUUAUCUUUCAGCCUUACCUUUGAUCACAAAAGCUGAGUGGGAUUUAGAUGGAAUGGCUGCUAUCUAACCUAGGAAUGGACCUUGCAGUGGCUUGGAAAACAGGAGAUGAGUGGGGUGAAAACCCCCCUGUGUCUGUGGGGAAACCACAGAUGAGGGCUGAUAUGAUAAACAAAGGUUUUACAGCACAGUGACUUUUACAAGUGAAUGGGUGCUUGGGGCAUUCUUCCUGGAAGGUGAGAGCUACUGCCAAUAGCUGUAUGGUACAGAACUGAGACAUGGUUCUGGUGGUUGCACUGGAUGGACCCCUCCUUGUUAAAAGCAGCUUGCCAGGAAUAAAUGUCUUGUUUUUUAAUGAGAUCGCCAAUGCUGUGUUGUCUUCAGAGACUGAGGAAGUGCACUUUUCUGUGUGUUUGGUUGAAGUCAGAUGUUACAGGAUUGUCUGGACGUAGCUGACUUGACAAAUAGCAGGGGUGACAUUUUAGCUCCAUGUAAGUCAGUGGCAAAAUUCCUGUUGAACUCCACUGGGGCCAAGAUUUCAUCCCAUGAUGGUGCCAAAGGGAAAUCUAAGAAAUGAUCCUCAGAAAAAUAAGUGCAGGCAUUCUGUUUUUCUAGGACUGUUUUUUUUACCUAAGGGGCAUGAAUCCUUGGAAUUCCAUGCACUGCUUUGGAGAGAUCUGCAAAAGAUCACGAAGACAAGCAAGUGUAUUGUCAAUAGGUUUAAAUUAGAAAUACAGGGGCCUGUGAUUCCAAGGGAAAACUUUCAGGAGUCGAUUAUGAAAUGUUAAGUCAGCUCAGCCCACUGAAAUCCACCUUUCUUUGUGCUCCAUGGACUGACAAGCAUCCUUCUGGCCAGACCCGUGCAGCUGGACUGGCUGCCACUGAGUGUUGUGGAUUGAAGCAGCUGCUCCACCCCCUCUGCUCAGAUGUAGGCAGGGGGAAGCCUCUAAUGUGGCAGAUGCUUUUACCAAUGGACUGGACCGAAAACAAAAUCUUUGUUUUAGAGAGGGUGGUGGAGCUGGGACCAUAUAAAUCUGUUUUGCUGCGAGGUCAGUGAUUGAUUAAUGCUGGAAGUGCCACCUUGGGAUGGCAAGGAUUGAGGAUACAGCCGCUUUUCUUCCCCAUGUGGAGGCACACUGCAUCUUCCCAGCUGAGCUAUCGUGUAACACAGAUGACUCUCUGGAGGAAGACUUAGCUGCACGUUUGCAGUAUGUUUUAGCUACUAUCAACAUUUAUAUUCCAUUGUCAUUUGGGGGUAAGCACUAGUUAGCAUAAUCAUCAGUGCUUUAAAAUUAAAAAUUCCUCCAAGAGAUGCAGGAGGGAUUGAAAUGGUUUUCUGCCCCCAGAGGCAAAUCCUUUCCCAAGCUAUCUGCUGCACCAAAAGGUUUUAUUCUAGAAACAUUCCCAAGCCGUGCCCAAGAGUAAAUUAAACUACAGCAAACUUAUAAACUCUCGUGUGUGUAUGUAGCAAGCAGGCCCUGAUUUAGCAAAUUACUACAUGACUAAAUGUAACUAUUUUCUGUUCCUAUUUUGGAACUGAUGUGCUUUGUUGCCGUGCCACCUUCACUGUAUGGGCUGCCACAAUCAGGAGGUAUUUGUAGAGUAUGAAAUUUUAAUUCUUCACAGGAAAGAUUCUGGUGUCUUCACCAGAUGGAAAGCAAAGGGCUUGAUGACACUGAUACCUUCUGGAGCUUGGCUCCCCUGGUAAGGAAUUGGCUUCAGAAAAUAUUAAGAGCCAUUCUUUUUCUGUGUAAUUUUAGAAUGGAUUUCUGCUUUGGUACCAAAGCGAUUCGCUGUCAGAGUGAAACUGAAAUGAGAUUUCUGGCUCAAAAAGCUCCUUCCCUUUCUGGAGAACAAGAUGCCAGAAAAACUAUGGGGGGACCUUGAAGUUUGAAAGGCAUCGUCUGUUAUCUGUGGAAAUGUGCCUAGGAGUCAAUCUUAAAAUUUCAACGUUCAUCCUUUGGGAUGUGAUGGAGAACCUCAGAUGACAGUAGUUGUGGUUAAGGAUGGAUUUUGUGCUUGUGGGUUAUCUUUGAGAAUGCUUCACCAAUCCCAGCAGCUCCUCGGGGUGGGCCAUGGAACUUCAGGAAGCAGGAAUGGUUGACUGUUGUAAUUGUUUCUGAUCUGUCCAGAGAGAAAAAAUGGUAUGUUCCAAAGGAAGUAUUUAUUUGUGAGUAGAACAAAUUGCAGGUGUUCUCCCUUCUUAAAAUGAAAGAAUUAUGCUUUAUAAAGAUGUGAUUAUUUUUAUUUCUGAAUAACACAAACGCUGCUGCACCUUACAUAGAGUAAACAUGAUGACUUUGCAAGAAAGAGCUGCAAAGAAAUCUCAGCGAAAACUUUGGUAUCUGCAAAGCUUUGAACACAUCCAUUAUCUUUUUGAUAUCCUGUUUCUUCGGAGAGAUGGACUUAAAUUUCACAGACAGAAUUUCUCUCUUUUAUCUUUAUCUCCUGUUUUGAUGUGCUAGCCAUGGAGAAAAGCCCAAGAUCAGUAAUAGCAAGUUCUUGCAGAAUAAGAAUAACCCUCUACUUGGGUUUAGGCUGUAGUAACAUUGGGGGUUUUGUUUAAUUGGAAGAUACUCAGAUUCAUUAGAAUAAAUACUGUGUGCUGUUAAGAUGUUAAUUACCUCUCCCAUUCAUUUAGAUACAGCUUGCUGUAAGAUUAUCUUCCCUCUGCGCUGAGGGAUGUUUGGGUGGCUCUACAAGGUAGGGGGUGGGUUUCUGUGCCUAUUUCUUUUGACACAAUGG